RNAcentral lists this long non-coding RNA (317 nucleotides) under Hordeum vulgare. RNAcentral's name for it is "long non-coding RNA (HVUL_LNC012064)". Lineage: Eukaryota; Viridiplantae; Streptophyta; Magnoliopsida; Poales; Poaceae. The record is from RNAcentral.
GCUUUAGGCCGUCUUCGGUACUUGCCCAUCUAGGGUUCAUGUGGGGAGGGGAAAGGCAUUUGCUUUUCUUUAACCGAACGAAUCCUUGCCUAGCGGCUCAUGAUACCAAUGUUGAAGCCGUAGAUCGACUAGGCAUAGAUAGAUCCGGUGAAACCUUUUACUCACCUAGUCCCGAGCCCGAGGAACUCCCUGCUUCGCCAUCAGUGCCGCUGUAGUCGUCGAUGGCGCGAGGGAAGAGGUGUGGUCGUGGGUGGUGCUUCCCGUGAGCACCGCGCUAACCCUAGAUCGGAAGGGGAUUUAGGUGAGGAGUCUGGCGA